This 1125-nucleotide long non-coding RNA is filed under the name Apteryx owenii (little spotted kiwi). RNAcentral's name for it is "lncRNA (ENSAOWG00000014914.1)". Lineage: Eukaryota; Metazoa; Chordata; Aves; Apterygiformes; Apterygidae. The record is from RNAcentral.
AUGUCGUGGCAGCCCAUCGCCCUCAUUCCUCCUCUGGCUCCUACUUCUUUCGUGGCGCCUUUCAGGGUAUGUCUCAAACACGGGGCAGACAGGACAGCUGAAGCAAUGACCAUUCAAAGACUUUAUCACAGUGGAAUCAACAAAAUUUGUUACAUGGAAUGGAAAAGAAAACCCCACGUCAAAGACUUCCCUUCUGAGAUGAACAUGUUUUCGCUAAUCCGAUCUGGAUUCGUAAGAGAACGAUACCGAAUCCUUUCCCCCAAGCUUGUAAAAUGUAUAACCAAAGAGACCCAAAUCGAGCCACACACUAAAACGUGCAGCGAGGGAGGGCAACACAAAUCGCCGGCGAGAUUCGCCUGCUAUUCCUUGCAACAGAGACCCAGCUUCAACACUGGGCUCUUCCCGACACCAGCCCCGAUGGCAGGAGCCUGGAUUUUCACGCUGGUGUUCAGCCUUAACAUCCAUGCUCCCGUCUCCAGUGAAGGCAGGGAAAGGUGGCUGGAUUUGCACAUCCUCCCCAGCACCAUCUUGGCUAGGAGAAGCACUGUUGCAGUGCUACAGCUGGGCCCGUCAUGGAAGUACCUUGCUCCACGGCACAGAAGAGCGCAAGGGAAUGAGCCAGAGGAGCUUCAUGAGUCAGGUCACAAGAGCAAGCGGGUAAACCCAUCCGCAGGCCGAUCCUCUGCUAGAUCUGCCUCCUGCCCACAGAUGGAGAGACAAACUCUUCAAACACUGUUGCUUUGGCAUCAGGAAUUCAGCUCACCAGAUGAAUCGUGGCUCCAGAGCAGGGCACAGUCUCCCCCUUGGUCGUGCACUGUCUGCUACGGCUCUCCGACAAUGUUCAUCCAACGUUUCCAGCGUUAUCGUUGAAAAUCCGAAACACCCUGCUUGUAGGGCUGGUACGCGUGCAGGAGCUAGCACAGAGAGUGUUACCUGCAACAAGCAGGGCUUUUGGAAGCGGAAGCGCUCAGUGAUCCAGUGCGGCACACUCGGAAAGGGUGAGCGCCAAACCGUGUGGCCUGGAGAGACAAAGCCACCAGGGAAAUCUCUGAGUGCUCCAGCAGCUUUGAGGUCUCACUGUGUGCCAACCAUCCUUUGUAGAAACCACAUGCAGAAAUAAAGGAG